GCCCAGGUGGCGAAACUGGUAGACGCGCUAGCUUGAGGGGCUAGUGGGAGCAAUCCCGUGGAAGUUCGAGUCUUCUCCUGGGCACCA
RNAcentral lists this transfer RNA (87 nucleotides) under Candidatus Peregrinibacteria bacterium. RNAcentral's name for it is "tRNA-Leu". It matches the Rfam family "tRNA". From Rfam's summary of the family: Transfer RNA (tRNA) molecules are approximately 80 nucleotides in length. Their secondary structure includes four short double-helical elements and three loops (D, anti-codon, and T loops). The record is from RNAcentral. Lineage: Bacteria; Candidatus Peregrinibacteriota.